This 277-nucleotide ribosomal RNA is filed under the name uncultured bacterium. RNAcentral describes it as "partial 16S ribosomal RNA". It matches the Rfam family "Bacterial small subunit ribosomal RNA", at positions 30 to 305 of the family's 1533-position model. The record is from RNAcentral.
AUUGAACGCUGGCGGCGUGCCUAACACAUGCAAGUCGAGCGGUAACAGGUGUAGCAAUACAUGCUGACGAGCGGCGAACGGGUGAGUAAUGCAUUGGAAUCUUCCCAGUAGUGGGGAAUAACCAGUCGAAAGAUUGGCUAAUACCGCAUACGUCUGUGAAGAGAAAGCGGGGGAUCGUAAGACCUCGCGCUAUUGGAUGAGCCAAUGUCGGAUUAGCUAGUUGGUGAGGUAAUGGCUCACCAAGGCGACAAUCCGUAGCUGGUCUGAGAGGACGACC